RNAcentral lists this long non-coding RNA (495 nucleotides) under Heterocephalus glaber (naked mole-rat). RNAcentral describes it as "lncRNA (ENSHGLG00000044350.1)". The record is from RNAcentral. Lineage: Eukaryota; Metazoa; Chordata; Mammalia; Rodentia; Bathyergidae.
UGAUUGGGCAGAUUUUGUAAAGUUGUUGUGUUCUUUUAAGCUGGGACAGAGGCCAGCUGCGGACUGGCAGCCAAGAGUGUCAGACGUCUGAGCUGAGAAUAGAGUCCUGAGGGUACUCGUGGCAUCUUGGGUUCUCUUGGAAAGUAGCAGCCACCAAGAUAUUAAAGAGAAUAGAAGGCAGCCAAGUGUUGUGGUACCACUGCUCCCAGCUCUGAGGAAGGGGCUUCCAGGCUGCUGUACCACUGCUCCCAGCUCAGAGGAAUGGGCUUCUGGGCCACUGUACCACCACUCCCAGUACAGAGGAGAAAAAGAAGAAAGAGGAGGAAGACAAGAAGAGAGAGGGAAAAAGAGAGGGAGAACAAGAAGAAAGAGACUCACCAGAUGCUGAUGCCUUGAUCAUGGACUUCCAAACCUCUAGAACUGAGAAAUAAAUCUUCGUUCAUUAUAAAUUACCCAGUGUGUGGUAUUCUGCUAAUAUGCUAUGGUUUUUGUGUG